This 321-nucleotide ribosomal RNA is filed under the name uncultured soil bacterium. Its description in RNAcentral is "bacterial SSU rRNA". It matches the Rfam family "Bacterial small subunit ribosomal RNA", at positions 26 to 342 of the family's 1533-position model. The record is from RNAcentral.
AGAUUGAACGCUGGCGGCAGGCCUAACACAUGCAAGUCGAGCGGCAGCACGGGUACUUGUACCUGGUGGCGAGCGGCGGACGGGUGAGUAAUGCCUAGGAAUCUGCCUGGUAGUGGGGGAUAACGCUCGGAAACGGACGCUAAUACCGCAUACGUCCUACGGGAGAAAGCAGGGGACCUUCGGGCCUUGCGCUAUCAGAUGAGCCUAGGUCGGAUUAGCUAGGUUGGUGAGGUAAUGGCUCACCAAGGCGACGAUCCGUAACUGGUCUGAGAGGAUGAUCGAGUCACACGUGGAACUGGACGACACGGUCCAGACCUCCGA